GCGGGUGUGGCGGAAUUGGCAGACGCAACGGACUUAAAAUCCGUUGAGCUUUAGGCUCGUGAGGGUUCAAGUCCCUCCACCCGCACCA
Molecule: transfer RNA, 88 nt
Filed under: Gammaproteobacteria bacterium
Lineage: Bacteria; Pseudomonadati; Pseudomonadota; Gammaproteobacteria
Description: tRNA-Leu
Rfam family: tRNA
About the family: Transfer RNA (tRNA) molecules are approximately 80 nucleotides in length. Their secondary structure includes four short double-helical elements and three loops (D, anti-codon, and T loops).
Source: RNAcentral